Long non-coding RNA from Callithrix jacchus (white-tufted-ear marmoset), 321 nucleotides. RefSeq lists it as uncharacterized. NCBI's taxonomy places the organism in Eukaryota, Metazoa, Chordata, Mammalia, Primates, Cebidae. The record is from RefSeq and is a predicted model, not a curated record.
CCCUUUGCUCCGCACUCAUUCUCUCUCCUGCUGCCCUGUGAAGAGGUGCCUUCUGCCAUGACUUUAAGUUUCCUGAGGCCUCCCCAGCCAUGCAGAACUGCCUGUCAAGCACAGAGACUACCAAGAUGGAGAGGUUGCAGCCCUGGUCCUCAAGAACUUGCCUGCACAUGGAAAAAUAGAAGCUGAGAGGCAGCUGAAAGGCCAUAUAAGGGCAUAGUAAGAAGGCGGCUGUCUACAAGCCAGGAGGAGAGGCCUCACUGAGAAUCAGCCCUGAAGAAACCACAACCUUGGACUUCUGGCCUCCAGAACUGUGAGAAUAAA